AACAGAGAUGUGGAGCGAAACUCAAAAAGUAAGUCUCAGUUCGGAUUGAAGGCUGAAAUUCGCCUUCAUGAAGCCGGAAUUGCUAGUAAUGGCAGGUCAGCAUACUGCCGUGAAUACGUUCCCGGGCCUUGUACACACCGCCCGUCACACCAUGAGAGUUGGGAAUACCCGAAGCCUGUGAGCUAACGUUAAGAGGCAGCAGUCGAAGGUAGAAUCAAUGAUUGGGGUGAAGUCGUAACAAGGUAUC
RNAcentral lists this ribosomal RNA (247 nucleotides) under uncultured bacterium. RNAcentral's name for it is "partial 16S ribosomal RNA". It matches the Rfam family "Bacterial small subunit ribosomal RNA", at positions 1253 to 1500 of the family's 1533-position model. The record is from RNAcentral.